Notolabrus celidotus (New Zealand spotty) is the source of this 844-nucleotide long non-coding RNA. RefSeq lists it as uncharacterized. Lineage: Eukaryota; Metazoa; Chordata; Actinopteri; Labriformes; Labridae. The record is from RefSeq and is a predicted model, not a curated record. The transcript has 2 exons.
UCAAAGCUCAUGAGAACACAGCAAACUAAAUAAAAACACAGGUAAACAUUAGAUCAAAGCUCAUGAGAACACAGCAAACUAAAUAAAAACAGGUAAACAAUAGAUCAAAGCACAUGAGAACACAGCAAACUAAAUAAAAACACAGAUAAACAUUAGAUCAAAGCACAUGAGAACACAGCAAACUAAAUAAAAACAGGUAAACAAUAGAUCAAAGCUCAUGAGAACACAGCAAACUAAAUAAACACAGGUAAACAUUAGAUCAAAGCUCAUGAGAACACAGCAAACUAAAUAAAAACAGGUAAACAUUAGAUCAAAGCUCAUGAGAACACAGCAUGACGUGUGAUCUGUUUGUCUCUGGUGUUGAUCAUGUUAGUGAAAGUUAAUAACCAUUGUCAUGGGGGUCUGGACCAAUCAGAAUCAAGCAUCCCACACAGCUGGGUGAUAAUGGUCUUUAAAUGCAUGUAUGUUCGUCCUGACGGGUGUAUCGUCUGCAUAGAGGAGGUAAAAAACACCCUGUUUAAAACCAAACACAGAUAUAUUGGUGUUGUAGUUUCCUCUCAGCAGAAAUACAACAUGAACUUUAAGUUUUGUGUUCACAUUUUAUUUCCUUUUUUUUGUAAUGAAUGAAAAAUGAUGGUCAGAAGUCAUUGCUCCUGUGUUUGGACACUUCCUGAAGUUUCUUGUACUUUUCUGAAAACUUUGUGCUGUAUGAUGAAGAUGAUGAAGAUGAAGAAUCAUUUGUAAACGUGUUAUUAUGACCUUUAUACGUUACCUUGCUUCGUGUUGUUUCACCGCUCUGUGAUUAUUUUUUAAUGUCUUCAAAUAAAUCUAACUGAAACAGGAA